Molecule: ribosomal RNA, 1314 nt
Filed under: uncultured Alphaproteobacteria bacterium
Lineage: Bacteria; Pseudomonadati; Pseudomonadota; Alphaproteobacteria
Description: uncultured alpha proteobacterium 16S ribosomal RNA
Rfam family: Bacterial small subunit ribosomal RNA
Source: RNAcentral
ACGCUGGCGGCACGCCUAACACAUGCAAGUCGAACGAAGUAGCAAUACUUAGUGGCAGACGGGUGAGUAACAUGUAGGUAUCUGCCCUUUGGCCUGGAAUAACACGAGGAAACUUGUGCUAAUACCGGAUAAGUCUUUACGGAGAAAGCUUUAUGCACCAUUGGAUGAGCCCGCACUUGAUUAGUUUGUUGGUGGGGUAAUGGCCUACCAAGACUGUGAUCAAUAGCUGAUUUGAGAGGAUGAUCAGCCACAUUGGGACUGAGACACGGCCCAAACUCCUACGGGAGGCAGCAGUGGGGAAUCUUGCACAAUGGAGGAAACUCUGAUGCAGCGAUGCCGCGUGAGUGAAGAAGGCCUUUGGGUUGUAAAGCUCUUUCGUCGGGGAAGAAAAUGACUGUACCCGAAUAAGAAGGUCCGGCUAACUUCGUGCCAGCAGCCGCGGUAAUACGAAGGGACCUAGCGUAGUUCGGAAUUACUGGGCUUAAAGAGUUCGUAGGUGGUUGAAAAAGUUAGUGGUGAAAUCCCCAGAGCUUAACUCUGGAACUGCCAUUAAAACUUUUCAGCUAGAGUAUGAUAGAGGAAAGCAGAAUUUCUAGUGUAGAGGUGAAAUUCGUAGAUAUUAGAAAGAAUACCAAUUGCGAAGGCAGCUUUCUGGAUCAUUACUGACACUGAGGAACGAAAGCAUGGGUAGCGAAGAGGAUUAGAUACCCUCGUAGUCCAUGCCGUAAACGAUGUGUGUUAGACGUUGGAAAUUUAUUUUCAGUGUCGCAGGGAAACCGAUAAACACACCGCCUGGGGAGUACGACCGCAAGGUUAAAACUCAAAUGAAUUGACGGGGACCCGCACAAGUAGUGGAGCAUGUGGUUUAAUUCGAAGAUACGCGCAGAACCUUACCAACACUUGACAUGUUCGUCGCGACUCUAAGAGAUUAGAGUUUUCGGUUCGGCCGGACGAAACACAGGUGCUGCAUGGCUGUCGUCAGCUCGUGUCGUGAGAUGUUGGGUUAAGUCCCGCAACGAGCGCAACCCUCACUUUUAGUUGCCAUCAUUAAGUUGGGCACUCUGAAAGAACUGCCAGUGAUAAGCUGGAGGAAGGUGGGGAUGACGUCAAGUCCUCAUGGCCCUUACGUGUUGGGCUACACACGUGCUACAAUGGUAUCUACAACAGGAAGCAAGACUGCGAAGUUAAGCAAAUCCCUAAAAGAUACCUCAGUUCGGAUUGCACUCUGCAACUCGAGUGCAUGAAGCUGGAAUUACUAGUAAUCGUGGAUCAGCGUGCCACGGUGAAUGCGUUCCCGGGUCUUGUACUCACCGC